Long non-coding RNA from Asparagus officinalis (garden asparagus), 1438 nucleotides. RefSeq lists it as uncharacterized. The record is from RefSeq and is a predicted model, not a curated record. NCBI's taxonomy places the organism in Eukaryota, Viridiplantae, Streptophyta, Magnoliopsida, Asparagales, Asparagaceae. The transcript is spliced from 4 exons.
UAAUUUUUUCCUCUUUAAAACAGAAAAAAAAUCAGAGUUCAUUCUUUCAAAAGUUUGUUCUCAACAUCGGAAAGACAUACAAGUUCCUUGUAAAGUUGGAUGAGAAAUCAAAGGAUGAACGUGCACAAGGAAAGAUAAUAGCACAAGAAAUACAAAUCCAAGAAGACAUCACAAUCAACAUUGAUGAUGAUGAUUCAGUUCUCGAUUUACCAAAAAAGAAGAUAAAGAUUCUCAAUGUUCUUAAAAGAAUAAUCAAUGAAGAUUGCCUACUACUAGAUUUCAUAAGGAAAGAUGAUCGUCCAAGGCCAUUAUUAUUUUGAGGACAGGUAUGACUUGGUUCAGUCUGGCAGAAUGCAGAGGGACAAUUAUCUUUUCUGAGACAUGCUGUGUCUGCACCACCUGAUGUAUUUACAUUUGCACAUUGUUCAAGACACCUGGCUAUUGAGCUUUUUCAUUUGAAGAGCCAAGUUUUUGUGUUUAUUUCCUUUAGAAGGUAUAUGAUUGUUAUAAUCUAGCAUGCAAUCACACAGGUAAGCCUAAAUCAGGCUGUUUUUUUUCUUUUUCUUUUUUUUAAUAUGCUAAGAUUAGGCAAGUUAUUUCUUUGUUAUUUUCCUUGGAAAGGUUUGUUCACUAGAUUAGGCAUCAAGCAUUUUGUACGAAUGAAACACAGUCCCUCUGGGUCUUGAAUGUGUGACUUUCUUAUGUAGAUGUGUAUUUCUGCUCUUAUCUAAUUGAUGAAGAUUGUCUGCAAUUAUUUUUAUCAAAAGACUAUUUAAAAAAAUCACAUAUAAAGUUUAACCAUUAUGAAUGAUUAGAUGUGUGUUGUAUGUAACCAUAUUUCUUCAUCAUAUAUAUAUCGUUUUUAGUUGCCAAACAUGUUAGGUUUCUAAAAAUAUGAAUUGUUGAAUUUAAUUUGAAGUUUAAGCUUUAGAAGGAUAUAUGGUUAGUAAUAUAUUUCUUAUGUUUGUCUACAGCUAGAAUGGACCUUAUUAGUAGUUCCUUCUUUUUCGCCCCUAAAAGAAAUCCAAUUUUAUCUAUCCAGCAACUUAGGGUCAUGCAUGCUUAGUAACAUUUUCUUGCUCUUUGUGGGACACGAGGCAAUAAUAGUUGGGAAAGUUAUCAGCCAUUUUACAAUGCAGAUUUGAAUUUAGUCUCGAUACAUUGUUUGCUCACUAAAAUCUGUAUCUGUCAAUUACUUGAUGACGGCUUUAGCUUAGAUAUUGUGCUGCUAUUCUAACCUUAUAGCCUUCAGAAUUCUUUUCUCUGUGUUUUUGUGAUUAUUAUGUGUUAACAUCUCAGAAUCUGCUAUGUAUCAAAGUAAUUCUAUUUUCUGUGUGCAAGGUGAUAAAUUUAAUCUGGAUGUCUUCCUCUUUGUUUGCAUGUCAAUAAAUCUGAUCUGGAUUUUAUUCCUCUUUUCUAUUCUUAUUACUGUUUUUAU